AGUGAACGCUGGCGGUAGACCUAACACAUGCAAGUCGAACGGCAGCACAGUAAGAGCUUGCUCUUACGGGUGGCGAGUGGCGGACGGGUGAGGAAUACAUCGGAAUCUACUUUUUCGUGGGGGAUAACGUAGGGAAACUUACGCUAAUACCGCAUACGACCUACGGGUGAAAGCAGGGGAUCUUCGGACCUUGCGCGAUUGAAUGAGCCGAUGUCGGAUUAGCUAGUUGGCGGGGUAAAGGCCCACCAAGGCGACGAUCCGUAGCUGGUCUGAGAGGAUGAUCAGCCACACUGGAACUGAGACACGGUCCAGACUCCUACGGGAGGCGGCAGUGGGGAAUAUUGGACAAUGGGCGCAAGCCUGAUCCAGCCAUACCGCGUGGGUGAAGAAGGCCUUCGGGUUGUAAAGCCCUUUUGUUGGGAAAGAAAAGCAGCAGGUUAAUACCCCGCUGUUCUGACGGUACCCAAAGAAUAAGCACCGGCUAACUUCGUG
This 492-nucleotide ribosomal RNA is filed under the name uncultured bacterium. RNAcentral's name for it is "partial 16S ribosomal RNA". It matches the Rfam family "Bacterial small subunit ribosomal RNA", at positions 29 to 507 of the family's 1533-position model. The record is from RNAcentral.